This 496-nucleotide ribosomal RNA is filed under the name uncultured bacterium. RNAcentral's name for it is "partial 16S ribosomal RNA". It matches the Rfam family "Bacterial small subunit ribosomal RNA", at positions 28 to 506 of the family's 1533-position model. The record is from RNAcentral.
GAUGAACGCUGGCGGCGUGCCUAAUACAUGCAAGUCGAGCGAACGGACGAGAAGCUUGCUUCUCUGAUGUUAGCGGCGGACGGGUGAGUAACACGUGGAUAACCUACCUAUAAGACUGGGAUAACUUCGGGAAACCGGAGCUAAUACCGGAUAAUAUUUUGAACCGCAUGGUUCAAAAGUGAAAGACGGUCUUGCUGUCACUUAUAGAUGGAUCCGCGCUGCAUUAGCUAGUUGGUAAGGUAACGGCUUACCAAGGCAACGAUGCAUAGCCGACCUGAGAGGGUGAUCGGCCACACUGGAACUGAGAAACGGCCCAAACCCCAACGGGAGGCAGCAAUAGGGAAUUUUCCGCAAUGGGCGAAAGCCUGAAGGAGCAACGCCGGGGGGGUGAUGAAGGUCUUCGGAUCGUAAAACCCUUUUAUUAGGGAAAAAAAUAUGUGUAAGUAACUGGGCAAAUCUUGGCGGUACCAAACAAAAAAGCCGCGGCUAACUGCGU